UAAUGCCUGGCGGCGGCUUACCAUGCAAGUCGAGCGGAAACGAUGAUAGCUUGCUAUCAGGCGUCGAGCGGCGGACGGGUGAGUAAUACUUAGGAAUCUACCUAGUAGUGGGGGAUAGCUCGGGGAAACUCGAAUUAAUACCGCAUACGACCUACGGGAGAAAGGGGGCAACUUGUUGCUCUCGCUAUUAGAUGAGCCUAAGUCGGAUUAGCUAGAUGGUGGGGUAAAGGCCUACCAUGACGACGAUCUGUAGCUGGUCUGAGAGGAUGAUCAGCCACACCGGGACUGAGACACGGCCCGGACUCCUACGGGAGGCAGCAGUGGGGAAUAUUGGACAAUGGGGGCAACGCCUGAUCCAGCCAUGCCGCGUGUGUGAAGAAGGCCUUUUGGUUGUAAAGCACUUUAAGCAGUGAAGAAGACUCCAUGGUUAAUACCCAUGGACGAUGACAUUAGCUGCAGAAUAAGCACCGGCUAACUCUGUGCCAGCAGCCGCGGUAAU
Molecule: ribosomal RNA, 499 nt
Filed under: uncultured bacterium
Lineage: Bacteria
Description: bacterial SSU rRNA
Rfam family: Bacterial small subunit ribosomal RNA
Source: RNAcentral